Molecule: ribosomal RNA, 492 nt
Filed under: uncultured bacterium
Lineage: Bacteria
Description: partial 16S ribosomal RNA
Rfam family: Bacterial small subunit ribosomal RNA
Source: RNAcentral
AGUGAACGCUGGCGGUAGGCCUAACACAUGCAAGUCGAACGGCAGCACAGUAAGAGCUUGCCUUUACGGGUGGCGAGUGGCGGACGGGUGAGGAAUACAUCGGAAUCUACUUUUUCGUGGGGGAUAACGUAGGGAAACUUACGCUAAUACCGCAUACGACAUACGGGUGAAAGCAGGGGAUCUUCGGACCUUGCGCGAUUGAAUGAGCCGGUGUCGGAUUAGCUAGUUGGCGGGGUAAAGGCCCACCAAGGCGACGAUCCGUAGCUGGUCUGAGAGGAUGAUCAGCCACACUGGAACUGAGACACGGUCCAGACUCCUACGGGAGGCAGCAGUGGGGAAUAUUGGACAAUGGGCGCAAGCCUGAUGCAGCCAUACCGCGUGGGUGAUGAAGGCCUUCGGGUUGUAAAGCCCUGUUAUUGGGAAAGAAAAGCUGUGGGUUAAUACCCCGCUGUUCUGACGGUACCCAAAGAGUAAGCACCGGCUAACUUCGUG